This 1893-nucleotide long non-coding RNA is filed under the name Marmota monax (woodchuck). Lineage: Eukaryota; Metazoa; Chordata; Mammalia; Rodentia; Sciuridae. The record is from RNAcentral.
UAAUGAGCUUCAACCCCAGGACUUCUUGCAGGAACUGCAAGAAAAUAAGUGUGAAGGAAUUUUCCACCACCAUUGAGAAAAUGAUAAAUUAUAAGCUUGAUCUACUGGUGAUCUCAUUUUUGCUACUACAAUGAAGAACAUGCUUAUUAAAGAAGCCUCCACAGAGGAAGGCAGAGAUGGAGUCCUGGUGUUUUAUUGUAAUCGGGACCAAACCAUGCCUAAAGUCAAUAUAUUCCACAUUUGUCCCAGUUACGUAAGCCAGUCAAGUUACUUUUCUGUUUAAUCCAGUUGAAAUAUACUUCUGUCACUUGCAAUUUAAAAAGUACUAACAAACACCAUCAUUUGAAAAGGAAAAUUAUGGUCAAAAAAGAUACUAAUCCGGGGGGCAAGGGGAUACCACAUGAAAAAAUUUACCAGAUCCUAUGGUUGAAGAAUAAUCUGACCGAAGCCCAGCUGCAUUGAAAAAGAGAAUAGAAAGAGACUAUUAGUCCCAGAACUUUGUUUUACUAGAAUUUUGUUCAGGAAAAUUUAUUUUCAGUACUUCUUGAUAACAUUCAAGCCCAUUUAGGAUUGUGCUUGAAAAUAAUCUAGUAGGGGAUGGAUAAAUUGUAAAUACGUAUUUUAGAUUAAAUAGGGUAGCCAAGAAUUGAUAGUUGUUGAAGCUAAGGAUGUAUGAGAAUUCAUUUUUCUAUUCUCUUUACUUCUGUAUAUUUGGACUAAUUUAGUAUAAGUCUUAAACAUUUUUUAAAGGUAAGAAAGCAACCAAAUAAUAAUUAAUCUUAUGACUGAAAUAGUAAAUGCAGUGCAGAAUUAUCCACUAGAGAUUUUUUAUGUAACAAACUUUUCAUUUAUCAGCCACUUAUCAUAUGCCUAGCAUACAUAUAUUUGUAUAUGUGUGUAUACAUAUGUGUGUGUGUGUGUGUGUGUGUAUGAAGUAUACUUUGGAAACUCAAUUGCUAUAUGUUUUGUUCCCAGUUCUAUUGUUGAAUUGUUGUACUAUACAUAAUAUUUGGCAACUUCUUUAACCAACAUAGCUCUGAUGCCUUUGGCUAAUCCUGUGCCACUGGGAUUGUGGAAGAGACUACUUCAUUACAUCUCUGGCUAUGAUAAUAGUCCUAAGGAAUGCUAUGGGAAGCAAUGCUUAAACACAAAUUACCCAACAAUCACCAUUUAGUACCACAGAGUCCAUGUCCACAGCCAGCCCCUGCAAGCUCCCCACAGAAGUUCGGUUUAUAAUGCUCGUCUGGAUGGAGUCCUUCAAGAUGGCUGCCACACAGUCCUCACAGAAGAUGUGGCCCUUGGCAUGUGGCAUGACAAACACAACCCAAAAGUGGACAAGGAGGCCACCUUUGUUGUUGCUGCUACAGGGGAAAAAGAGAGAUGUUCAAGGAUAUCUCUUAGGAAGUAGACUUUCUUAGGAAAGAGACCCAACUGACAGAUUCAAAGACAAUAAGCACAUCCUUCAACUGAACCUAACUCCCUUCUUUAGGUAGUCAUUGGCUCCUAUUAUGGGGAUUAGAAAGAGAAAGCAUCACAUUAUGUAUUCUAAUUAUUAUGUUAGAAUUCAAAUCUAGAACCAUUACUAUACUAUUUCCGUGGAUAUGAAUCAGUAUUUGCUGUCAUUAAAAAUAACAGUUUUAACAUGUUUGGUACCUGGCCACGUUUGAUACAGUGCCAAAUCGGCUUUAUCUCAUUUAAUCUUAUGAAAAAAGUCUUAGUGUUUUUCCAGUUUGACAGAUGAGGAAAUUGAAGCCAAAUACAUUCACAACCACACAGCUAGUUAGUAGUAGUAGAGAAAUUAAGCCCAAUUUGAUUUUCAAUCUGACCCCAGAGCUUAAGUUUCUAAUUGGAUAGAGUGGAUAUUUUAUAAAAUAAACAUAAGAGAAUUUAAAU